This 504-nucleotide ribosomal RNA is filed under the name uncultured bacterium. RNAcentral describes it as "partial 16S ribosomal RNA". It matches the Rfam family "Bacterial small subunit ribosomal RNA", at positions 30 to 523 of the family's 1533-position model. The record is from RNAcentral.
AUUGAACGCUGGCGGCAGGCCUAACACAUGCAAGUCGAACGGUAGCACAGAGAGCUUGCUCUUGGGUGACGAGUGGCGGACGGGUGAGUAAUGUCUGGGAAACUGCCCGAUGGAGGGGGAUAACUACUGGAAACGGUAGCUAAUACCGCAUAACGUCUUCGGACCAAAGUGGGGGACCUUCGGGCCUCACACCAUCGGAUGUGCCCAGAUGGGAUUAGCUAGUAGGUGGGGUAAAGGCUCACCUAGGCGACGAUCCCUAGCUGGUCUGAGAGGAUGACCAGCCACACUGGAACUGAGACACGGUCCAGACUCCUACGGGAGGCAGCAGUGGGGAAUAUUGCACAAUGGGCGCAAGCCUGAUGCAGCCAUGCCGCGUGUAUGAAGAAGGCCUUCGGGUUGUAAAGUACUUUCAGCGGGGAGGAAGGCGUUAAGGUUAAUAACCUUGGCGAUUGACGUUACCCGCAGAAGAAGCACCGGCUAACUCCGUGCCAGCAGCCGCAGUAA